GGAAGAUUGGUAGAAUGGUUAUUACAGCAGUCUUGAAAACUGUCACCUUAUGGGUGUGGGGGUUCGAGUCCCUCAUCUUCCG
RNAcentral lists this transfer RNA (82 nucleotides) under Caudoviricetes sp. RNAcentral's name for it is "tRNA-Ser". It matches the Rfam family "tRNA". Rfam says of the family: Transfer RNA (tRNA) molecules are approximately 80 nucleotides in length. Their secondary structure includes four short double-helical elements and three loops (D, anti-codon, and T loops). The record is from RNAcentral. Lineage: Duplodnaviria; Heunggongvirae; Uroviricota; Caudoviricetes.